GCUGACGAGUGGCGCACGGGUGCGUAACACGUAUGCAAUCUACCCUUUACAAAGGCAUAACCCUGAGAAAUCGGGGCUAAUACCUUAUAGUAUCAUUUGAUGGCAUCAUCAGAUGAUUAAAGCUUCGGCGGUAAAGGAUGAGCAUGCGCCCCAUUAGUUAGUUGGUAAGGUAACGGCUUACCAAGGCGAUGAUGGGUAGGGGUCCUGAGAGGGUUAUCCCCCACACUGGUACUGAGACACGGACCAGACUCCUACGGGAGGCAGCAGUAAGGAAUAUUGGGCAAUGGGCGAGAGCCUGACCCAGCCAUGCCGCGUGCAGGAAGACGGCCCUAUGGGUUGUAAACUGCUUUUAUACGGGAAUAAUAACAGCUACGUGUAGCUGUAUGCAGGUACCGUACGAAUAAGCAUCGGCUAACUCCGUGCCAGCAGCCGCGGUAAUACGGAGGAUGCGAGCGUUAUCCGGAAUCAUUGGGUUUAAAGGGUGCGUAGGCGGACUAAUAAGUC
Molecule: ribosomal RNA, 504 nt
Filed under: uncultured bacterium
Lineage: Bacteria
Description: bacterial SSU rRNA
Rfam family: Bacterial small subunit ribosomal RNA
Source: RNAcentral